RNAcentral lists this ribosomal RNA (440 nucleotides) under uncultured bacterium. RNAcentral describes it as "partial 16S ribosomal RNA". It matches the Rfam family "Bacterial small subunit ribosomal RNA", at positions 338 to 795 of the family's 1533-position model. The record is from RNAcentral.
CCUACGGGUGGCAGCAGUGGGGAAUAUUGCACAAUGGGGGAAACCCUGAUGCAGCGACGCCGCGUGAGUGAAGAAGUAAUUCGUUGUGUAAAGCUCUAUCAGCAGGGAAGAAAAUGUGGGUACCUGAGUUAAAAGCCCCGGCUAACUACGUGCCGGCAGCCGCGGCAAUACGUAGGGGGCAAGCGUUAUCCGGAUUUACUGGGUGUAAAGGGGGCGUAGACGGUCGUGCAAGUCUGUAGUGAAAGGGACGGGCUCAACCCCCGGACUGCUCUGGAAACUGUACGGCUGGAGUGCAGGUGAGGUAAGUGGAAUUUCUAGUGUAGCGGUGAAAUGCGUAGAUAUUAGGAGGAACACCAGUGGCGAAGGCGGCUUACUGGACUGUAACUGACGUUGAGGCUCGAAAGCGUGGGGAGCAAACAGGAUUAGAUACCCCUGUAGUC